CCUACGGGAGGCAGCAGUGAGGAAUAUUGGUCAAUGGCCGGAAGGCUGAACCAGCCAUGCCGCGUGAAGGUCAGUGCCCUAUGGGUUGUAAACUUCUUUUAUAUGGGAAUAAAAUGUUCCACGUGUGGGAUUUUGUAUGUACCAUAUGAAUAAGGAUCGGCUAACUCCGUGCCAGCAGCCGCUGUAAUACGGAGGAUCCGAGCGUUAUCCGGAUUUAUUGGGUUUAAAGUGAGCGUAGGUGGAUUGUUAAGUCAGUUGUGAAAGUUUGCGGCUCAACCGUAAAAUUGCAGUUGAAACUGGCAGUCGUGAGUACAGUAGAGGUGGGCGGAAUUCGUGGUGUAGCGGUGAAAUGCUUAGAUAUCACGAAGAACUCCGAUUGCGAAGGCAGCUCACUGGACUGCAACUGACACUGAGGCUCGAAAGUGUGGGUAUCAAACAGGAUUAGAUACCCGGGUAGUC
This 459-nucleotide ribosomal RNA is filed under the name uncultured bacterium. RNAcentral describes it as "partial 16S ribosomal RNA". It matches the Rfam family "Bacterial small subunit ribosomal RNA", at positions 338 to 795 of the family's 1533-position model. The record is from RNAcentral.